CUGCUGGCAUCUUCUGUUCUAGUCCACACUAUGCUGUCCCCGGGGGUACUGGGUUUAUAGAGAAGAACAGAGCUCCCAACCCCAGCAAAGAUGCAGAGGGAUUCUAAAGUGGACAGACACUGGCAGUAUUGCAGGACAAGAUUUGGAACCUUACGAGGACACGGAACCUCCUAGGUAAGUUACCAGCCACCUGCUCUUCCUUCCUUGGGAAGAAACACGGUGUUUCCUGGAAGGAUGAACGGCUCAGUGCUGACGUGCUAUGAGAAAUGCAGGCUGCAGCCAGGACUACUCUCCUUCCAAAUGCCAGCAAGGAGCACCAGAAGAACAAUUUAACCCAAGUGCUGACAGGGGCUCAUGACGGAGCUAUGGAGAGCGGCUGGGAUUCCUCUCAGGAAAGGUCACUUCAGUCGCAACGCAACAAAGUAACUUUGUCAGAUUUUAGGCUUUCCCUCUUAGCACUAAUAACACUUUAAAGAAUUCAUGCCUCUAAUUGGAUUUGAU
This 501-nucleotide long non-coding RNA is filed under the name Mus spicilegus (steppe mouse). RNAcentral describes it as "lncRNA (ENSMSIG00000009931.1)". Lineage: Eukaryota; Metazoa; Chordata; Mammalia; Rodentia; Muridae. The record is from RNAcentral.